UGGGGAAAUUGAAAAUGGGCGAAGCCUGAUCCGCCUGCCGCGUGAGUGAUGAAGGCCUUCGGGUUGUAAAGCUCUUUUGUCCGGAAAGAAAUCCUUCGGGCUAAUACCCUGGUCCUAUGACGGUACCGGGAGAAUACACCGGCUAACUUCAUGCCAGCAGCCGCGGUAAUA
RNAcentral lists this ribosomal RNA (171 nucleotides) under uncultured bacterium. RNAcentral describes it as "partial 16S ribosomal RNA". It matches the Rfam family "Bacterial small subunit ribosomal RNA", at positions 355 to 525 of the family's 1533-position model. The record is from RNAcentral.